GACGAACGCUGGCGGCGUGCUUAACACAUGCAAGUCGAACGGAAAGGCCCUGCUUUCGUGGGGUGCUCGAGUGGCGAACGGGUGAGUAACACGUGAGUAACCUGCCCUUGACUUUGGGAUAACUUCAGGAAACUGGGGCUAAUACCGGAUAGGAGCUCCUGCUGCAUGGUGGGGGUUGGAAAGUUUCGGCGGUUGGGGAUGGACUCGCGGCUUAUCAGCUUGUUGGUGGGGUAGUGGCUUACCAAGGCUUUGACGGGUAGCCGGCCUGAGAGGGUGACCGGCCACAUUGGGACUGAGAUACGGCCCAGCCUCCUACGGGAGGCAGCAGUGGGGAAUAUUGCACAAUGGGCGGAAGCCUGAUGCAGCAACGCCGCGUGCGGGAUGACGGCCUUCGGGUUGUAAACCGCUUUCGCCUGUGACGAAGCGUGAGUGACGGUAAUGGGUAAAGAAGCACCGGCUAACUACGUG
RNAcentral lists this ribosomal RNA (468 nucleotides) under uncultured bacterium. RNAcentral describes it as "partial 16S ribosomal RNA". It matches the Rfam family "Bacterial small subunit ribosomal RNA", at positions 28 to 507 of the family's 1533-position model. The record is from RNAcentral.